Molecule: ribosomal RNA, 492 nt
Filed under: uncultured bacterium
Lineage: Bacteria
Description: partial 16S ribosomal RNA
Rfam family: Bacterial small subunit ribosomal RNA
Source: RNAcentral
AGUGAACGCUGGCGGUAGGCCUAACACAUGCAAGUCGAACGGCAGCACAGUAAGAGCUUGCUCUUACGGGUGGCGAGUGGCGGACGGGUGAGGAAUACAUCGGAAUCUACUUUUUCGUGGGGGAUAACGUAGGGAAACUUACGCUAAUACCGCAUACGACCUACGGGUGAAAGCAGGGGAUCUUCGGACCUUGCGCGAUUGAAUGAGCCGAUGUCGGAUUAGCUAGUUGGCGGGGUAAAGGCCCACCAAGGCGACGAUCCGUAGCUGGUCUGAGAGGAUGACCAGCCAAAUGGGAACUGGGACACGGCCCAGACCCUAACGGGGGGAGCAGUGGGGGAUUAUUGAACAUGGGCCGCAGGCUGAACCCGCCCUUACGCGGGGGUGAAGGAGGGCUUUCGGUUGGAAAGCCCUUUUUUUGGGGAAAGAAAAGCAGCAGGUUAAUACCCCGCUGUUCUGACGGUACCCAAAGAAUAAGCACCGGCUAACUUCGUG